ACGCGUGAGAAUUUGCCUCUAGGAGGGGGAUAACAACUGGAAACGGUUGCUAAUACCCCAUAUGCUUUCGAGUGAAAUGGAUUUCCGCCUAGAGAGAAGCUUGCGGCUGAUUAGCUUGUUGGUGAGGUAAUGGCUCACCAAGGCGACGAUCAGUAUCUGGUUUGAGAGGACGAUCAGACACACUGGAACUGAGACACGGUCCAGACUCCUACGGGAGGCAGCAGUGGGGAAUUUUCCGCAAUGGGCGAAAGCCUGACGGAGCAAUACCGCGUGAGGGAUGACGGCCUAUGGGUUGUAAACCUCUUUUUUCAGGGAGGAAUCAAUGACGUGUACCUGAAGAAUAAGCAUCGGCUAACUCCGUGCCAGCAGCCGCGGUAAGACGGAGGAUGCAAGUGUUAUCCGGAAUCACUGGGCGUAAAGCGUCUGUAGGUGGUUUAAUAAGUCAACUGUUAAAUCUUGAGGCUCAACCUCAAAAUCGCAGUCGAAACUAUUAGACUAGAGUAUAGUAGGGGUAAAGGGAAUUUCCAGUGGAGCGGUGAAAUGCGUAGAUAUUGGAAGGAACACCGAUGGCGAAGGCACUUUACUGGGCUAUUACUAACACUCAGAGACGAAAGCUAGGGUAGCAAAUGGGAUUAG
RNAcentral lists this ribosomal RNA (636 nucleotides) under Bacillariophyta sp. 1 MAB-2013. RNAcentral's name for it is "SSU rRNA". It matches the Rfam family "Bacterial small subunit ribosomal RNA", at positions 113 to 781 of the family's 1533-position model. The record is from RNAcentral. Lineage: Eukaryota; Bacillariophyta.